GGUGGCUCAGUGGUAGAGAGCUUGCCUUGCAUGCAUGAGGCUCUGGGUUCAAUUCCUGAGCACCA
Molecule: transfer RNA, 65 nt
Filed under: Dipodomys ordii (Ord's kangaroo rat)
Lineage: Eukaryota; Metazoa; Chordata; Mammalia; Rodentia; Heteromyidae
Rfam family: tRNA
About the family: Transfer RNA (tRNA) molecules are approximately 80 nucleotides in length.
Source: Rfam by way of RNAcentral